RNAcentral lists this ribosomal RNA (432 nucleotides) under uncultured bacterium. Its description in RNAcentral is "bacterial SSU rRNA". It matches the Rfam family "Bacterial small subunit ribosomal RNA", at positions 917 to 1350 of the family's 1533-position model. The record is from RNAcentral.
GGGCCCGCACAAGCGGUGGAGUAUGUGGUUUAAUUCGAUGCAACGCGAAGAACCUUACCAGGGUUUGACAUCCUGCGAAUCUCUUGGAAACAGGAGAGUGCCUUCGGGAACGCAGUGACAGGUGGUGCAUGGCUGUCGUCAGCUCGUGUCGUGAGAUGUUGGGUUAAGUCCCGCAACGAGCGCAACCCACGUCUUUAGUUGCCAGCAUUUAGUUGGGCACUCUAGAGAGACCGCCGGUGAUAAACCGGAGGAAGGUGUGGAUGACGUCAAGUCAUCAUGCCCCUUACAUCCUGGGCUACACACGUACUACAAUGCUACGGACAAAGAGCAGCAAGUUCGCGAGGACAAGCAAAUCUCAUAAACCGUGGCUCAGUUCAGAUCGUAGGCUGCAACUCGCCUACGUGAAGGAGGAAUCGCUAGUAAUCGCAGGUC